AGAAUCAACGCUGGCGGCGUGCCUCAGACAUGCAAGUCGAACGAUUAAAGCUCUCUUCGGAGAGUGUAUAGAGUGGCGCACGGGUGAGUAACACGUAAGUAAUCUACCUUUGAGUGGGGAAUAACCCGGGGAAACCCGAGCUAAUACCGCAUAAUGCAGCGGCACCGCAAGGUGACAGUUGUUAAAGGAGCAAUCCGACUUAAAGAGGAGCUUGCGGCAGAUUAGCUAGUUGGUAAGGUAAUGGCUUACCAAGGCUACGAUCUGUAUCCGGUCUAAGAGGACGGUCGGACACACUGACACUGAAUAACGGGUCUAGACUCCUA
This 323-nucleotide ribosomal RNA is filed under the name uncultured soil bacterium. Its description in RNAcentral is "bacterial SSU rRNA". It matches the Rfam family "Bacterial small subunit ribosomal RNA", at positions 26 to 341 of the family's 1533-position model. The record is from RNAcentral.